RNAcentral lists this ribosomal RNA (218 nucleotides) under uncultured bacterium. RNAcentral's name for it is "partial 16S ribosomal RNA". It matches the Rfam family "Bacterial small subunit ribosomal RNA", at positions 1283 to 1500 of the family's 1533-position model. The record is from RNAcentral.
CGGUCUCAGUUCAGAUUGCUGGCUGCAACUCGCCUGCAUGAAGUUGGAAUUGCUAGUAAUCGCGAAUCAGAAUGUCGCGGUGAAUACGUUCCCGGGCCUUGUACACACCGCCCGUCACACCAUGAGAGUCGAUAACACCCGAAGCCUGUGAGCUAACCGUAAGGAGGCAGCAGUCGAAGGUGGGGUUGAUGAUUGGGGUGAAGUCGUAACAAGGUACC